This 306-nucleotide ribosomal RNA is filed under the name uncultured bacterium. Its description in RNAcentral is "partial 16S ribosomal RNA". It matches the Rfam family "Bacterial small subunit ribosomal RNA", at positions 507 to 808 of the family's 1533-position model. The record is from RNAcentral.
GACAGCAGCCGCCGCGGUAAUACGUAGGUCCCGAGCGUUGUCCGGAUUUAUUGGGCGUAAAGCGAGCGCAGGCGGUUAGAUAAGUCUGAAGUUAAAGGCUGUGGCUUAACCAUAGUACGCUUUGGAAACUGUUUAACUUGAGUGCAAGAGGGGAGAGUGGAAUUCCAUGUGUAGCGGUGAAAUGCGUAGAUAUAUGGAGGAACACCGGUGGCGAAAGCGGCUCUCUGGCUUGUAACUGACGCUGAGGCUCGAAAGCGUGGGGAGCAAACAGGAUUAGAUACCCCUGUAGUCCCUGUCUCUUAUACA